UACGUAGGGGGCAAGCGUUAUCCGGAUUUAUUGGGCGUAAAGAGCGCGUAGGCGGACUGUUAAGCGAGAUGUGAAAUCUGGGGGCUCAACCCGCAGCUUGCAUCUCGAACUGGCAGUCUUGAGUCUGGUAGAGGAAAGUGGAAUUCCCAGUGUAGCGGUGAAAUGCGCAGAUAUUGGGAGGAACACCAGUGGCGAAGGCGGCUCUCUGGGCCACGACUGACGCUGAGGCGCGAAAGCUAGGGGAGCAAACAGG
This 253-nucleotide ribosomal RNA is filed under the name uncultured bacterium. Its description in RNAcentral is "partial 16S ribosomal RNA". It matches the Rfam family "Bacterial small subunit ribosomal RNA", at positions 524 to 776 of the family's 1533-position model. The record is from RNAcentral.